UCCUCCUUAGCUCAGUUGGUUAGAGCAUCUGACUGUUAAUCAGAGGGUCGUUGGUUCGAGUCCAACAGGAGGAG
Molecule: transfer RNA, 74 nt
Organism: Microscilla marina ATCC 23134
Lineage: Bacteria; Pseudomonadati; Bacteroidota; Cytophagia; Cytophagales; Microscillaceae
Rfam family: tRNA
About the family: Transfer RNA (tRNA) molecules are approximately 80 nucleotides in length. Their secondary structure includes four short double-helical elements and three loops (D, anti-codon, and T loops). Further hydrogen bonds mediate the characteristic L-shaped molecular structure. tRNAs have two regions of fundamental functional importance: the anti-codon, which is responsible for specific mRNA codon recognition, and the 3' end, to which the tRNAs corresponding amino acid is attached (by aminoacyl-tRNA synthetases). tRNAs cope with the degeneracy of the genetic code in two manners: having more than one tRNA (with a specific anti-codon) for a particular amino acid; and 'wobble' base-pairing, i.e. permitting non-standard base-pairing at the 3rd anti-codon position.
Source: Rfam